This 493-nucleotide ribosomal RNA is filed under the name uncultured bacterium. RNAcentral describes it as "partial 16S ribosomal RNA". It matches the Rfam family "Bacterial small subunit ribosomal RNA", at positions 32 to 507 of the family's 1533-position model. The record is from RNAcentral.
AACGCUGGCGGCGUGCCUAAUACAUGCAAGUCGAGCGAACAGACGAGGAGCUUGCUCCUCUGACGUUAGCGGCGGACGGGUGAGUAACACGUGGAUAACCUACCUAUAAGACUGGGAUAACUUCGGGAAACCGGAGCUAAUACCGGAUAAUAUAUUGAACCGCAUGGUUCAAUAGUGAAAGACGGUUUUGCUGUCACUUAUAGAUGGAUCCGCGCCGCAUUAGCUAGUUGGUAAGGUAACGGCUUACCAAGGCGACGAUGCGUAGCCGACCUGAGAGGGUGAUCGGCCACACUGGAACUGAGACACGGUCCAGACUCCUACGGGAGGCAGCAGUAGGGAAUCUUCCGCAAUGGGCGAAAGCUUGACGGAGCAACGCCGCGUGAGUGAUGAAGGUCUUCGGAUCGUAAAACUCUGUUAUUAGGGAAGAACAAAUGUGUAAGUAACUAUGCACGUCUUGACGGUACCUAAUCAGAAAGCCACGGCUAACUACGUG